GACGAACGCUGGCGGCGUGCUUAACACAUGCAAGUCGAACGGAAAGGCCCUGCUUUUGUGGCGUGCUCGUGUGGCGAACGGGUGAGUAACACGUGUGUAACCUGCCCUUGUCUUUGGGAUAACUUCAGGAAACUGGGGCUAAUACCGGAUAGGAGCUCCUGCUGCAUGGUGGGGGUAGGAAAGUUUCGGCGGUUGGGGCUGGACUCGCGGCUUAUCGGCUUGUUGGUGUGGUAGUGACUUACCAAGGCUUAGACGGGUAGCCGGCCUGAGAGGGUGACCGGCCACAUGGGGACUGAGGGACGGCCCAGACGCCUACGUGAGGCAGCAGUGGGAAAUAUUGCACAGUGGGCGGAAGCCAGAUGCGGCAACGCCGCGAGCGGAAAGACGGCCUUCGGGUUAUAAACCGCUGUCGCCGGUGACGAAGCGUGAGUGACGGUAAUGAGUAAAGAAGCACCGGCUAACUACGUG
Molecule: ribosomal RNA, 468 nt
Filed under: uncultured bacterium
Lineage: Bacteria
Description: partial 16S ribosomal RNA
Rfam family: Bacterial small subunit ribosomal RNA
Source: RNAcentral